GAAACGAUCAGCACAACACUGAGCUACGGCCUGCUGCUCCUGAUGAAGCACCCCCAUGUCACAGUUAAAGUCCAGAAAGAAAUUGACUAUGUGAUUAGCAGACACCAGAGCCCCUGCAUGCAGGACAGGAGCCGCAUGCCCUACACAGAGGCUGUGCUGCACGAGGUCCAGAGAAACAUUGACCUUCUCCAUAGCAAUGUGCUUCAUGCC
Long non-coding RNA from Perognathus longimembris pacificus (Pacific pocket mouse), 210 nucleotides. RefSeq lists it as uncharacterized. The record is from RefSeq and is a predicted model, not a curated record. Lineage: Eukaryota; Metazoa; Chordata; Mammalia; Rodentia; Heteromyidae. The transcript is spliced from 5 exons.